Non-coding RNA from Paramuricea clavata, 75 nucleotides. The record is from the annotation of a GenBank genome assembly. Lineage: Eukaryota; Metazoa; Cnidaria; Anthozoa; Malacalcyonacea; Plexauridae.
GCCUUUGUAGCUCAGUUGGUUAUAGAGCGCUGCACCGGAAUCGCAGGGCCGUGGGUUCAGUUCCUACCAGAGGGC